This 83-nucleotide small RNA is filed under the name Flavobacterium dankookense. RNAcentral's name for it is "Flavobacterium sp. ARSA-19 Flavo-1 RNA". It matches the Rfam family "Flavo-1 RNA". Lineage: Bacteria; Pseudomonadati; Bacteroidota; Flavobacteriia; Flavobacteriales; Flavobacteriaceae. The record is from Rfam by way of RNAcentral.
UUUUAGCCCCGAUUGAAGUGAAAAUAAAAAAUGCUUCCAUGGUUUGGAAGCAUUUUUUAUUGUAACGAAAAGCGGGAAAACGG